UACGCAGGGGGCUAGCGUUGCUCGGAAUUACUGGGCGUAAAGCGCACGUAGGCGGAUUGUUAAGUCGGGGGUGAAAUCCUGGAGCUCAACUCCAGAACUGCCUUCGAUACUGGCGAUCUCGAGUUCGGGAGAGGUGAGUGGAACUGCGAGUGUAGAGGUGAAAUUCGUAGAUAUUCGCAAGAACACCAGUGGCGAAGGCGGCUCACUGGCCCGAUACUGACGCUGAGGUGCGAAAGCGUGGGGAGCAAACAGG
This 253-nucleotide ribosomal RNA is filed under the name uncultured bacterium. RNAcentral describes it as "partial 16S ribosomal RNA". It matches the Rfam family "Bacterial small subunit ribosomal RNA", at positions 524 to 776 of the family's 1533-position model. The record is from RNAcentral.